Molecule: non-coding RNA, 28 nt
Filed under: Mus musculus (house mouse)
Lineage: Eukaryota; Metazoa; Chordata; Mammalia; Rodentia; Muridae
Source: RNAcentral
UCCUGGUGUCGUUAGUUUUAUCAGCGGU